CGCGCAGGCGGGUCUGUAAGUCAGAGGUGAAAUCCUACAGCUUAACUGUAGAACUGCCUUUGAUACUGCAGAUCUUGAGUUCGGAAGAGAGAGGCGGAAUUCCAGGUGUAGUGGUGAAAUACGUAGAUAUCUGGAAGAACACCAGUGGCGAAGGCGGUCUCUUGGUCCGUAACUGACGCUGAGGCGCGAAAGCGUGGGGAGCAAACAGGAUAAGAUACCCUGGUAGUCC
RNAcentral lists this ribosomal RNA (229 nucleotides) under uncultured bacterium. RNAcentral describes it as "partial 16S ribosomal RNA". It matches the Rfam family "Bacterial small subunit ribosomal RNA", at positions 568 to 796 of the family's 1533-position model. The record is from RNAcentral.